CCGAUUCGAGCGCAGCGAGAAAGCGUUGCCGCAGGCAACGACCCGAAGGGCGAAGCGCGCAGCGCUGAGUCAUCCUUCCCCCACCACCA
This 89-nucleotide small RNA is filed under the name Salmonella enterica subsp. enterica serovar Enteritidis. Its description in RNAcentral is "partial RtT sRNA". It matches the Rfam family "RtT RNA", at positions 43 to 130 of the family's 130-position model. Rfam says of the family: This family represents a bacterial cis-regulatory element known as RtT RNA. The exact function of RtT is unknown although it is thought that it may be involved in changing the cellular response in relation to amino acid starvation. The record is from RNAcentral. Lineage: Bacteria; Pseudomonadati; Pseudomonadota; Gammaproteobacteria; Enterobacterales; Enterobacteriaceae.